AUGAACGCUGGCGGCGUGCCUAAUACAUGCAAGUCGAGCGAACAGACGAGGAGCUUGCUCCUCUGACGUAGCGGCGGACGGGUGAGUAACACGUGGAUAACCUACCUAUAAGACUGGGAUAACUUCGGGAAACCGGAGCUAAUACCGGAUAAUAUAUUGAACCGCAUGGUUCAAUAGUGAAAGACGGUUUUGCUGUCACUUAUAGAUGGAUCCGCGCCGCAUUAGCUAGUUGGUAAGGUAACGGCUUACCAAGGCAACGAUGCGUAGCCGACCUGAGAGGGUGAUCGGCCACACUGGAACUGAGACACGGUCCAGACUCCUACGGGAGGCAGCAGUAGGGAAUCUUCCGCAAUGGGCGAAAGCUUGACGGAGCAACGCCGCGUGAGUGAUGAAGGUCUUCGGAUCGUAAAACUCUGUUAUUAGGGAAGAACAAAUGUGUAAGUAACUAUGCACGUCUUGACGGUACCUAAUCAGAAAGCCACGGCUAACUACGUG
RNAcentral lists this ribosomal RNA (495 nucleotides) under uncultured bacterium. Its description in RNAcentral is "partial 16S ribosomal RNA". It matches the Rfam family "Bacterial small subunit ribosomal RNA", at positions 29 to 507 of the family's 1533-position model. The record is from RNAcentral.